UACAGAGGUCCCAAGCGUUGUUCGGAUUCACUGGGCGUAAAGGGUGCGUAGGUGGCCGGGUAAGUCUGACGUGAAAUCUCCGAGCCUAACUCGGAAACUGCAUCGGAUACUAUCCGGCUUGAGGAUUGGAGGGGGGACUGGAAUACUUGGUGUAGCGGUGAAAUGCGUAGAUAUCGUCUGGAACGCCGAAGGUGAAAACAGCUCGCUGGGGCUGCGCUGACGCUGAGACACGAAAGCCAGGGGAGCGAACGGG
RNAcentral lists this ribosomal RNA (253 nucleotides) under uncultured bacterium. Its description in RNAcentral is "partial 16S ribosomal RNA". It matches the Rfam family "Bacterial small subunit ribosomal RNA", at positions 524 to 776 of the family's 1533-position model. The record is from RNAcentral.